AGUCGACGAACUUCUUUAUCACCGAGUGCUUGCACUCACCGAUAAAGAGUUGAGUGGCGAACGGGUGAGUAACACGUGGGCAACCUGCCCAAAAGAGGGGGAUAACACUUGGAAACAGGAGCUAAUACCGCAUAACCAUAGUUACCGCAUGGUAACUAUGUAAAAGGUGGCUAUGCUACCGCUUUUGGAUGGGCCCGCGGCGCAUUAGCUAGUUGGUGGGGUAAAGGCUUACCAAGGCAAUGAUGCGUAGCCGAACUGAGAGGUUGAUCGGCCACAUUGGGACUGAGACACGGCCCAAACUCCUACGGGAGGCAGCAGUAGGGAAUCUUCCACAAUGGGCGAAAGCCUGAUGGAGCAACGCCGCGUGGGUGAAGAAGGUCUUCGGAUCGUAAAACCCUGUUGUUAGAGAAGAAAGUGCGUGAGAGUAACUGUUCACGUUUCGACGGUAUCUAACCAGAAAGCCACGGCUAACUGCGUGCCAGCAGCCGCGGUAAUACGUAGGUGGCAAGCGUUAUCCGGAUUUAUUGGGCGUAAAGGGAACGCAGGCGGUCUUUUAAGUCUGAUGUGAAAGCCUUCGGCUUAACCGGAGUAGUGCAUUGGAAACUGGGAGACUUGAGUGCAGAAGAGGAGAGUGGAACUCCAUGUGUAGCGGUGAAAUGCGUAGAUAUAUGGAAGAACACCAGUGGCGAAAGCGGCUCUCUGGUCUGUAACUGACGCUGAGGUUCGAAAGCGUGGGUAGCAAACAGGAUUAGAUACCCUGGUAGUCCACGCC
RNAcentral lists this ribosomal RNA (772 nucleotides) under uncultured bacterium. RNAcentral's name for it is "bacterial SSU rRNA". It matches the Rfam family "Bacterial small subunit ribosomal RNA", at positions 60 to 801 of the family's 1533-position model. The record is from RNAcentral.